UACGGAGGGGGCGAGCGUUAUUCGGAAUUAUUGGGCGUAAAGGGCGCGUAGGCGGCUGGGCAAGUCAAAGGUGAAAUCCCUCGGCUCAACUGAGGAACUGCCUUUGAAACUGCCUGGCUUGAGGCCGGGAGGGGGUAGCGGAAUUCCCAGUGUAGCGGUGAAAUGCGUAGAUAUCUGGAGGAACACCGGUGGCGAAGGCGGCAUCCUGGACCACGACUGACGCUGAGGAGCGAAAGCCAGGGGAGCAAACGGG
RNAcentral lists this ribosomal RNA (253 nucleotides) under uncultured bacterium. RNAcentral describes it as "partial 16S ribosomal RNA". It matches the Rfam family "Bacterial small subunit ribosomal RNA", at positions 524 to 776 of the family's 1533-position model. The record is from RNAcentral.